Long non-coding RNA from Pan troglodytes (chimpanzee), 521 nucleotides. RefSeq lists it as uncharacterized. The transcript is spliced from 3 exons. The record is from RefSeq and is a predicted model, not a curated record. Lineage: Eukaryota; Metazoa; Chordata; Mammalia; Primates; Hominidae.
AUAAGACUUUGAGAUACCUGCCUGAACACGUCUGUGAAAAACUAUGUUGAAUCGAAAGGAACUGGUUGAAUAGAAGCAGUUUCAAUGGAUCCUGCCUAACAUUUAAACUUCCUCAGAGUGAAGUGUGAUUUUCAGUGCAGAAUAGCAGGUGCUGAACGACUGCAGGAAUAAAUCAGGAAUCUCAAGAGGACCCACAGACCCUCUGAAGGAAACAGACUGCUCCUGCAGGACCCAGGAGACACCCCAAAAACUUGUUGACUGAUCAUUCAAGGGUAUUCGGCUGACAGACGGGUUGGAAUGAAAAGCCCAAAACUAUUUCAGUCACAUGAUGCUUCAUUGGGAAUGGCUGGAAGGCCAGCCUCACCUUGACUCGUCAAGAAGAAUCUCUGCAGGUAACCUCUCCAGCAUGGCAAAGUAACAGGUCCCUGAGAGCAGGGGGACUCUCACUGGGUGCCUCAGAGCUUUAAGAGCAGUGACUUCAGCUAUCACCUCUUGGAUGGGAGGGAUGAAAAAUAUUUUUG